This 500-nucleotide ribosomal RNA is filed under the name uncultured bacterium. RNAcentral's name for it is "partial 16S ribosomal RNA". It matches the Rfam family "Bacterial small subunit ribosomal RNA", at positions 30 to 523 of the family's 1533-position model. The record is from RNAcentral.
AUUGAACGCUGGCGGCAUGCCUUACACAUGCAAGUCGAACGGCAGCACGGGAGCAAUCCUGGUGGCGAGUGGCGAACGGGUGAGUAAAGUAUCGGAACGUGCCCAGUCGUGGGGGAUAACGUAGCGAAAGUUACGCUAAUACCGCAUACGAUCUAUGGAUGAAAGCGGGGGAUCGCAAGACCUCGCGCGAUUGGAGCGGCCGAUAUCAGAUUAGGUAGUUGGUGGGGUAAAGGCUCACCAAGCCGACAAUCUGUAGCUGGUCUGAGAGGACGACCAGCCACACUGGGACUGAGGCACGGCCCAGACUCCUACGGGAGGCAGCAGUGGGGAAUUUUGGACAAUGGGCGAAAGCCUGAUCCAGCCAUGCCGCGUGCAGGAUGAAGGCCUUCGGGUUGUAAACUGCUUUUGUACGGAACGAAAAGGUUUGGCCUAAUAAGCUGAGCUCAUGACGGUACCGUAAGAAUAAGCACCGGCUAACUACGUGCCAGCCGCCGCAGUAA